Clupea harengus (Atlantic herring) is the source of this 854-nucleotide long non-coding RNA. NCBI's taxonomy places the organism in Eukaryota, Metazoa, Chordata, Actinopteri, Clupeiformes, Clupeidae. The record is from Ensembl.
GCAUUAAUCUUUCUGUGGAGUUUUCCCUUCCGUUGUUGUUUAUUGAUAAUUAAACAUGGCUUCAUUUGCAAAGGUGGUUGUGUGUGUCCUGAUCGCUUGUGUCUGUAAUGCAUUCUGUUUUCCGAAGAGAGAUGUGAACUUUAAGGCCUCUGCAGUUGACCGCCAAAGUGAUGAUGUGGUUGUCACCACAACACCCGUUCCCCACAACCAGACCACAUCUGCCCAUACUGAAGCUGGCGGUGCAAGUGAAGAUGCUGUCGCUACUACCCCAGCACCUAAUCCACACAACCAGACAACUUCUGCACAAACUGAAGUUACUGAUGGAGCCAGUGAAGAUGCUGUGGACCGCCAAAGUGAUGAUGUGGUUGUGGCCACAACACCCGAUCCCCACAACCAGACCACAUCUGCCCAUACUGAAGCUGAUGGAGCCAGUGAAGAUGCUGUGGACCGCCAAAGUGAUGAUGUGGUUGUGGCCACAACACCCGAUCCCCACAACCAGACCACAUCUGCCCAUACUGAAGCUGGUGAUGGAGCAAGUGAAGAUGCUGUGGCUACCACCCCAACACCAAAUCCCCCAACUACAUCUGACCACACUGCAGCUACCGGUAAGGACAUCAGUGCCUGUCUGUUUUGAUGGAACACUUUGAAUGUUUGCGCCCCCCUUUUGACAGUGUCGCUUUCUGUUUGUGUGUAAUCGCAAGAUGAUGCAAGUGAGGGUGCUGUGGCUGCCCAAACUGGAACUACUGUAUCCCAUACGACUGAAGUCUGAUUCGACUGCUCCUCUGGUCACAAUGACCUGAGUCACUGUCUGGACUUUUUGCCUCUACAUGUUGACUGCAAUAAAGGACAGAUUU